AAUAUUGCACAAUGCGGGAAACCCUCAUGCAGCGACGGCGGCUGAGUGAAGACGUAAUUCGGUAUGUAAAGAUCCAUCAGCAGGAAAGAAAAUGACGGUACCUGACUAAGAAGCCGCGGCUAACUACGUGCCAGCAGCCGCGGUAAUACGUAGGGGGCAAGCGUUAUCCGGAUUUACUGGGUGUAAAGGGAGCGUAGGUGGUUUGGUAAGUCAGAUGUGAAAGCCCGGGGCUCAACCCCGGGACUGCAUUUGGAACUAUCAAACUAGAGUGCAGGAGAGGUAAGUGGAAUUCCUAGUGUAGCGGUGAAAUGCGUAGAUAUUAGGAGGAACACCAGUGGCGAAGGCGGCUUACUGGACUGUAACUGACACUGAGGCUCGAAAGCGUGGGGAGCAAAC
Molecule: ribosomal RNA, 396 nt
Filed under: uncultured bacterium
Lineage: Bacteria
Description: partial 16S ribosomal RNA
Rfam family: Bacterial small subunit ribosomal RNA
Source: RNAcentral